RNAcentral lists this ribosomal RNA (467 nucleotides) under uncultured bacterium. RNAcentral's name for it is "partial 16S ribosomal RNA". It matches the Rfam family "Bacterial small subunit ribosomal RNA", at positions 28 to 507 of the family's 1533-position model. The record is from RNAcentral.
GACGAACGCUGGCGGCGUGCUUAACACAUGCCAGUCGAACGGAAAGGCCUAGCUUGCUGGGUACUCGAGUGGCGAACGGGUGAGUAACACGGGGGUGAUCUGCCCCUGACUUUGGGAUAAGCCUGGGAAACGGGGUCUAAUACCGGAUAUUCAUUUUUCCUCGCAUGGGGAUUUGUGGAAAGCUUUUGCGGUUGGGGAUGGGCCCGCGGCCUAUCAGCUUGUUGGUGGGGUAAUGGCCUACCAAGGCGACGACGGGUAGCCGACCUGAGAGGGUGAUCGGCCACACUGGGACUGAGAGACGGCCCAGACUCCUACGGGAGGCAGCAGUGGGGAAUAUUGCACAAUGGGCGCAAGCCUGAUGCAGCGACGCCGCGUGAGGGAUGACGGCCUUCGGGUUGUAAACCUCUUUCAGCUCCGACGAAGCGCAAGUGACGGUAGGAGCAGAAGAAGCACCGGCCAACUACGUG